AUUGAACGCUGGCGGCAGGCUUAACACAUGCAAGUCGAACGGUAACAUAAAGAAGCUUGCUUCUUUGAUGACGAGUGGCGGACGGGUGAGUAAUGCUUGGGAAUCUAGCUUAUGGAGGGGGAUAACUACGGGAAACUGUAGCUAAUACCGCGUAGAAUCGAGAGAUGAAAGUGUGGGACCUUCGGGCCACAUGCCAUAGGAUGAGCCCAAGUGGGAUUAGGUAGUUGGUGAGGUAAAGGCUCACCAAGCCGACGAUCUCUAGCUGGUCUGAGAGGAUGACCAGCCACACUGGGACUGAGACACGGCCCAGACUCCUACGGGAGGCAGCAGUGGGGAAUAUUGCGCAAUGGGGGCAACCCUGACGCAGCCAUGCCGCGUGAAUGAAGAAGGCCUUCGGGUUGUAAAGUUCUUUCGGUAGCGAGGAAGGCAUUUAGUUUAAUAGACUAGGUGAUUGACGUUAACUACAGAAGAAGCACCGGCUAACUCCGUGCCAGCAGCCGCGGUAAUACGGAGGGUGCGAGCGUUAAUCGGAAUAACUGGGCGUAAAGGGCACGCAGGCGGUGACUUAAGUGAGGUGUGAAAGCCCCGGGCUUAACCUGGGAAUUGCAUUUCAUACUGGGUCGCUAGAGUACUUUAGGGAGGGGUAGAAUUCCACGUGUAGCGGUGAAAUGCGUAUAGAUGUGGAGGAAUACCGAAGGCGAAGGCAGCCCCUUGGGAAUGUACUGACGCUCAUGUGCGAAAGCGUGGGGGAGCAAACAGG
This 760-nucleotide ribosomal RNA is filed under the name Parahaemophilus parainfluenzae. RNAcentral's name for it is "Haemophilus parainfluenzae bacterial SSU rRNA". It matches the Rfam family "Bacterial small subunit ribosomal RNA", at positions 28 to 776 of the family's 1533-position model. The record is from RNAcentral. Lineage: Bacteria; Pseudomonadati; Pseudomonadota; Gammaproteobacteria; Pasteurellales; Pasteurellaceae.